Long non-coding RNA from Dendronephthya gigantea, 599 nucleotides. RefSeq lists it as uncharacterized. NCBI's taxonomy places the organism in Eukaryota, Metazoa, Cnidaria, Anthozoa, Malacalcyonacea, Nephtheidae. The transcript has 3 exons. The record is from RefSeq and is a predicted model, not a curated record.
GCUUUUCGAAACAGAGGACGCAUUAUCUUUGAUGACAAAAUUCUGUGCAUUCCUUUGGUUUUGUUGGUGAUGAUCCAAGAAGAAUUGUAUUUCAUGAAACGAAAAAGCAUAAGUGUUUACGAACACAUAGAAGAAUUACUUCGGAUUCGCUGAAGGAGGGGGCGAUAACGAGCAUUUCAGUGGAAGAGUGGAAGACAUUCUAAUAACUCAUUAUCGACAAAAUCACGCAAUGAAAACGAUUCUGAAGUUCUUCUUGCUUGCUUUUCUACUCUUGGUCAGUGGUUUUGAAGGCGGGGACGGUUUCAAACGGAUUUUACGAAGAAGAAAAAUACGCCGUCCGAAGCCAGCGCCAUUAAUGGAACGCAAAUUGGGUUUUCGUUUCACACAACGAUAAGAUACUACCAGGCACGGCUUUAAAACGAGGACAGACACGAAGAAAGAACCAAUGGAAUCUUGAAGAAAUAAGAAUGAUCUCCUAAACAUGAACACCUAUAGUUAUAUAUUUAACUAAUUAACAUAAAUUUUAAGACGUAUACCGUAGAAAUUAGUAUAGAGUAUUGUGGCUGUCAUGACGAAAAGUGACGCAAUAAUGUUACUUG